This 253-nucleotide ribosomal RNA is filed under the name uncultured bacterium. RNAcentral's name for it is "partial 16S ribosomal RNA". It matches the Rfam family "Bacterial small subunit ribosomal RNA", at positions 524 to 776 of the family's 1533-position model. The record is from RNAcentral.
UACGUAGGGCGCAAGCGUUGUCCGGAAUUAUUGGGCGUAAAGAGCUCGUAGGCGGCCUGUUGCGUCCGCUGUGAAAUCCCGGGGCUCAACCCCGGGCCUGCAGUGGAUACGGGCUGGCUGGAGGCAGGCAGGGGAGAACGGAAUUCCUGGUGUAGCGGUGAAAUGCGCAGAUAUCAGGAGGAACACCGGGGGCGAAGGCGGUUCUCUGGGCCUGUUCUGACGCUGAGGAGCGAAAGCGUGGGGAGCGAACAGG